CGCCACUUUUUUGUCUCACAGUUCCUCCAACAUGAUUCCAUGAUUUCAAUAAAUCAAGAGUGUUAUCAGCUAAGUUGCUCGGACUCGGGCGCGGGUAUCCGAGACGGAUGCGAAUCCGAGAGUCGGAUUCGGCAAAAUUUAAAUUUUAAGAUUCGGGGGUGCGAAUCCGAGUAUGGAUACGGGUGCGGGGAUUCGUUAAAAUUAUUCAAUAUUAUAAAUAAUAAUAAUAAUAAAUAUCUUGUAAAAUGCUAUACUUAAAAGGAUAUCAAUUAUAGAUAUACAAAUUUAAAAGUAUAAAUUAAUUACUUGUUACUAAUUAAUUUUAAAAAAAUUAUAAUUAUUUUUAUUUAUUAUAAAAAAGAAAUAAUCAUUUAUAUAUAUAUAUAGCCUAUUAAAUUAGAUAGUAGUACAUAUAUAUAGCCUAUUAAAUCAUUUAUAUAUUAUAUAUAUAGCCUAUUAAAUUAGAUAGUAGUACAUAUAUAUAGCCUAUUAAAUCAUUUAUAUAUUAUAUAUAUAGCCUAUUAAAUUAGAUAGUAGUACAUAUAUAUAGCCUAUUAAAUCAUUUAUAUAUUAUAUAUAUAGCCUAUUAAAUUAGAUAGUAGUACAUAUAUAUAGCCUAUUAAAUCAUUUAUAUAUUAUAUAUAUAGCCUAUUAAAUUAGAUAGUAGUACAUAUAUAUAGCCUAUUAAAUCAUUUAUAUAUUAAGAUAGUAGUACAAUUCAUUAAAGUUCUGACGUGCUGCCAUAUCUAUAUAUAUAGCAUAUUAAAUUAGAUAGUAGUACAAUUAAUUAAAGUUCUGACGUGUUCUGACGUGCUGCCCUUUCUUCUCCCAAGAAACCCUAGCCUUCUUUUUUCCUUUUCAAGAAAAAAGCUCUCUCUUCUUUUUUCAAGAAAAAAACUUUGAAUUAUUUGUUCAUUUUUCCAUCCAUGAAAUUAUCUCUUCUUCCCCAUUUUUUUUCUCGGCUUUGGUCAAAGUAUCCGGAUCGGAUUGACCGAAUCCGACACGCACCCCGCACCCGCGCCCGCACCAGUGUCGCGUCGAGACGGGUUCGGCCGCAAAAAUGAAGAGUCCGCGCAACAUAGGUUAUCAGGCAUUGUCCAUUUCAAUUUCACUAAAGCCAGGAAAAGAUGCCACAGCUGGGAAGUCAACUAGUUUAAGAACUUAAAAAAGGAGUUAAAGCACUAAGAAGGUAAGACGCACUAGAAUAUGAAAUGUGAUUAUAGGCACUAUUUCUCUUGAUAAACAGUGCCUUUCCAUUCAUUCUGUCAACGUUACAGGAUUUUCAAUAGGAAGUAAACUUUAUUAAAAACUAAUAUGCCUUAAUCCCUAACAAGUUGGGGUCGUCUAUAUGAAUUUUCACGGAUCAAAUCGCUCCAUUUGAGCUCAUCUCAUAUCCAAUAGAAAUAAGAAAAAAAAUAAAAAUUACUAGAAGCUCUCUAUAUUUUCUACUGAAAGACUUUGAUAGUACUAAAGGAAUCCUAGAAAACAUAGGAAGUAAA
This 1499-nucleotide long non-coding RNA is filed under the name Solanum tuberosum (potato). Its description in RNAcentral is "long non-coding RNA (STUB_LNC001954)". Lineage: Eukaryota; Viridiplantae; Streptophyta; Magnoliopsida; Solanales; Solanaceae. The record is from RNAcentral.